Molecule: ribosomal RNA, 448 nt
Filed under: uncultured bacterium
Lineage: Bacteria
Description: bacterial SSU rRNA
Rfam family: Bacterial small subunit ribosomal RNA
Source: RNAcentral
GAGCGGUAGAGAGAAGCUUGCUUCUCUUGAGAGCGGCGGACGGGUGAGUAAUGCCUAGGAAUCUGCCUGGUAGUGGGGGAUAACGUUCGGAAACGGACGCUAAUACCGCAUACGUCCUACGGGAGAAAGCAGGGGACCUUCGGGCCUUGCGCUAUCAGAUGAGCCUAGGUCGGAUUAGCUAGUUGGUGGGGUAAUGGCUCACCAAGGCGACGAUCCGUAACUGGUCUGAGAGGAUGAUCAGUCACACUGGAACUGAGACACGGUCCAGACUCCUACGGGAGGCAGCAGUGGGGAAUAUUGGACAAUGGGCGAAAGCCUGAUCCAGCCAUGCCGCGCGUGUGAAGAAGGUCUUCGGAUUGUAAAGCACUUUAAGUUGGGAGGAAGGGUUGUAGAUUAAUACUCUGCAAUUUUGACGUUACCGACAGAAUAAGCACCGGCUAACUCUGUG